ACGCUCGACACCUACGGGGAGGCAGCAGGUGGGGAAUAUUGCACAAGUGGGGGAAACCCUGAUGCAGCGACGCCGCGUGAGCGAAGAAGUAUUUCGGUAUGUAAAGCUCUAUCAGCAGGGAAGAAACUGACGGUACCUGACUAAGAAGCACCGGCUAAAUACGUGCUAGCAGCCGCGGUAAUCUGAGCGGGCUGGCAAGGC
RNAcentral lists this ribosomal RNA (201 nucleotides) under uncultured bacterium. RNAcentral describes it as "partial 16S ribosomal RNA". It matches the Rfam family "Bacterial small subunit ribosomal RNA", at positions 328 to 539 of the family's 1533-position model. The record is from RNAcentral.